RNAcentral lists this microRNA (18 nucleotides) under Macaca mulatta (Rhesus monkey). RNAcentral's name for it is "mml-miR-7190-3p". The record is from miRBase by way of RNAcentral. Lineage: Eukaryota; Metazoa; Chordata; Mammalia; Primates; Cercopithecidae.
GCGCUCUUCGUCGGCGUG